Molecule: long non-coding RNA, 3435 nt
Organism: Equus caballus (horse)
Lineage: Eukaryota; Metazoa; Chordata; Mammalia; Perissodactyla; Equidae
Source: Ensembl
UAAGAGUGGCGUGUGAAGCAAAAUGACUGUAUUUCAAUGUGCCCUUGUGGGGAAGGAGCGAUGGACAGAUUCUUCCCUCAGAAAAAGCUCCCUUCUGUGUCAGGGGCAGGAUACCAGAGAGUCCGCGCUUUGCUUAGUUUCAAACGUCCCUGGGGAAAAGGAGCUUGAAACUGGAAGGAUCUGGCAGAGCUGUGAAUAUUCAGAGGGACCCACAGCAUUUCCCAGUUUGGACUGAGGUCCCUGGGAGCCCAAGAAAACAGGAAACCUGCAUUUGAAGUGCAGACCUUGCCUUUCUUUGGAGAACUAUUCCUCCUCCCUCCAGUGCGAUUCUGUUGAGGCUGUGGGAUUUACACAUAUUGACGUGGGAAGAGAAUGUCUGCAUCCUACCCUGGAGCAAGCCAAAGAAGCAAUAGAGAAUGCGGGCAACACACAAAAGUGAGACAGAACCAUCGGAAGCAUCAAAUCCUGUAUUCCAUUCUCGAAGCCCACCAAAUCUGUCCUGAAUUCUUCCUUUGAUUGUGUGAGUGAACACAGCGUUCUUCCACUAAAUUUCCAUUUCUCCUUCAGCUCCAGCAAGUUGGGCUUCUGUCACUCGCAAAAGUGUCUAAUAUCCUUGUCUACCUUGCAGCAUUAUUGUAUGGGUCAGAUAAAACAAGUACACAAAGUUCUUCGAAAAUCUAAAGCAUAACACUAACUGGAAUAAAAAGAACUGUGAAAUAUAGUUUCUUCCCUUCAAGGAGAAAUAAGGUAUUCUGCACUGGCAAUGUUAAUUACUUAAGAACAGAAUGUUAAUUGCACAACUUAUGUGGUUGGAUUCAGUGUCAACAGGAGGCUGUGAAUUGUGGUGACCAGGGAAGGCUUCGGGGGAGAGGCAGGAUUCGAGCUGGGCCUGAAGGAUAAACACAAUGUUGAUCAAAGUAAGGAAAAGGCUUUCUAGGCAUGGAGGAUGUGGGUUAAAGCACCACGACUGGACACCCAGUCAAAUAUUUACUGGCCUACUAUGGGUGAUGCCUGGAGGAAGUCAAGGCUUGGAGAGCCUUGGAAUCUGCUCUGGCCACUUAUAAAAGCCACUUAAAUCAUCAAAUACCAAAAGAAGUCUGCAGUAUUUAAGCAAACAAAAAAAAGCUAGAGGAACAUAUUCCACAUUCCUGUGGGUCCUCUCUUGUAAUCCAAGGCCUUUCUUCUUCCUCGUUAGUAUUUUUAAGACUUCCCUGGUGUUUGAGUCAGGUUAGUAUCACCUGGAGACUUCAUCCGUGUUUUCUGUUCCCUCUCUUUGAGAGUGAGCAGAAAUGGCCAAUUCAGAUGAAAGUGAUCACCCGCUCAGGGCCCUUCUUGAUGAUCCAGCUGCUAUCACUUUUCACCCCCCUCUGUGGUUAUUGUCCUUCCCAGUUUCAUCUUCUUCAGCCACACUUGUGGUUAAGCCUCAGGGCUGGAAAUGGAAAUUAUUCUUCCUGAGAAGCUUGACGCUGUUAUUGUUAAGUAGCUGCAGACUUUUAACAUUUUAAGGGUACGGGACAACAAGCGUGCACAUUGUUUUCCCAUUAUUUCUUAAAGUACCACGCUUAGAAAUCUUCCUGAGCUCAUUUAUCAUUUGACUCUGGGAUCUCAACAGCACAUGUUUUCUUCCUUCAAUCCAAGGAAAGUCAUAUUAGAAUUGUCAGGUUCACUCAUUACAAGACAUAAAAAAAAAAUCAAAACCUUAGUUUCCCUAUCUACAAAAUAGUAUUUGUGACACCUAAUUUUACAGGGCUAUCAUGAGAAUUAACUAAAACAAUUGAGGUGGGGUUAUUUUAUGGAGCACCACAACAAUAACAAAGCAAUACAGAAGUAGUAGGAUGGGGUACAAUUCUCAUUUGUAAACUUUUACUCCCUGCCCUGAUCCCCUAGUUCUGUCCUCCCUCUGUGAUCCUCAUGAGCCCCUUGAUUUUUCCUGAUAAUGGGCUCAUGUUACUUCUAGUACCUGAUAGGCACCCCAGGCUGGAGUUUACAAAUUUGCUGAAGGUUAGCACUUUCCAUCUCAUACUCCUGCUGGACUGAUGCUGAAGGCAAUUCACACCAAAGAGAAGACUGAGAAUUAGGGUAGCAGGUGGCUCAAAGCAGCUGUGCAUGAGACUUGCCAUCUGCAGAGAUGGGGAAGGGACCUGCAAGGCAGCUGAUGGCAGUGGGAACCACGCCAGAGCCAGAGGGAAGGUCUUGCCUUGGUCGACAGGCUGAAUCAAACGGAGACAGUCGGAUGCUAAAGGUGGAGGAGAGGGAGAGAAUUUGGCCAAUUCAAGAAGGGAAUGGGGUGCUGAGUGCCACCUGCAGCUCAUUUCUGUGCUUUAUAAUCCAUCAUUUUCUCUUUUUCUUUGAAAAUAUCUCCUAGGGAGAGGCCCUUUGGCAAGAGGGAAGCUAGGCAUACUUGUCAUCUUUUCCUCUGUCCUCAUCCCAGUUGGAAACAAAUAACUCAAAGCUGGUUGACUUCCUAGCAGAUCUAAUUUAUUUCAAACUCCAUUUUCAGUCAAUCUCAUAGGCAAAUUCUUCCAGGAAAGCUGGAAUUAUUCUGUGGAAAUGGUUAGGGGGUAUGCUCAUGGACAGAGGUAGUUGAGGUUGUUGCCUCACAGAGCAUGAGAUUGAAAAAGGACCCAAAAGGUCAAUAGAUACCUUCUCUCUCUAAGAGGAGGACACCGAGGCCAGAAUGGGCAGGUGACUUGCCCAGGGUCUUACUUCCAGGUGCCCUGCCUUCCUAAGUCCCCUAAAGGGAGAGUGGAAUAUAAAGAUCCACUGCACCGGGAAAACAAUUCAGGAGUGAUGGGGCAGAACUGGCCAGCUGGAAGUGAUCUUGUCAAAGAUGAGACUGGGAGUGAAAAAUGCCAGGGCAAGGCAGAUUUCUCAGAAAUAGAGAAACAAAAGAGUAAAAACCAAACUGAGACUGGGAGCAAACAAGUCAAAACCAGGAGCCAGUACUAGAUGGGGACAAAAUGACACUAAUUACAGCUGAGAAUGAUUUAGGGUUAGCCUGGUGAAAAACAAGUUGUCUUCAAGUUAAUAAAAUCAAACAGGACUUGUAUGAAGUAAGCACAGUACCUAGAGUGUUUAAUGGCUCCCCGUUGUUGGGGAGGCCCCCACAAUCUGGCCCGGUCUAUUUUCAGUCUAUUUUUCCCUUAUUUGCCCUUGACCCACCCAAAUGCAACCAAAAGCUCAUAACCAAGCUUGUUGAUCAACGUCUCCAGGGCUUUCCUUAGGCUGUCUCUCGGCCUGGAAUGCCAUUCCUCUCCUAAUGCCCUUCUUGGGUCCAAAUUCUAUGUAUCCUUCUAAUGCCUCUGGUUACCAAUUCCAACACAUAGGGGUUUCCCCCCACACCACCAAGCAAUUCUCAGACACCAGCUGGGUAUCCUACAAUUCAGCUCAGUCCUGACACUAUCUGGACAUAGAGUCUGAUCUCAUGGGCUAAGG